This 349-nucleotide long non-coding RNA is filed under the name Phoenix dactylifera (date palm). Its description in RNAcentral is "long non-coding RNA (PDAC_LNC011469)". Lineage: Eukaryota; Viridiplantae; Streptophyta; Magnoliopsida; Arecales; Arecaceae. The record is from RNAcentral.
UAAUUGAUCUAAUUGGUGUCUAGGAAAGCAUGAAAGGUGGUUACUUAAUUAGGACCUUACUCUCUGAGUAAGGGGAGCCUCCCACCUGCUUACCUGGCCAAUUGUUCGAUUACCUCUUAUGAAGAGCUCAAGUUGCAAACACUAAGAUCUGAUUAACCAAUAUUAAGUCAAUAGGUCUUCCACUGUAGUAGAGCUGCUAAGGUCUUUCUGAUGUUGAUUUGUCUCGGCUGGACACAGUGGGCAAGUUGCAUCGGAGGGCCGGACCUCUCUAUAGACAUGAGAUGUUGUAGGGUAAAGGUGGGGUUGGGCACCAAUAACUGUUAGGUGAGGACCCAAUGACGACUUUAUU